Molecule: long non-coding RNA, 2054 nt
Filed under: Sorghum bicolor (sorghum)
Lineage: Eukaryota; Viridiplantae; Streptophyta; Magnoliopsida; Poales; Poaceae
Description: long non-coding RNA (SBIC_LNC017850)
Source: RNAcentral
GUGCAGUCGAGCACCGCCGGUGGCCGCGGCCGCAACUGCCCGCCCAGCGCCGCCCGCGCCUCGCCUCUACCGAGGUCACCACGCCGCUGCCACAUGCGACGAUGGCUGCCGCCCCGUUCCCCAUCAAGGUCGCGAGGCACGCAGAUCCGUGCUUCAUCCACAAAAUCUGGGCAGUACAUAUUUCUUUUUGCAUUUCAUUUGUUUUGAUCAUUUGCUUUAGAAGUCACCAAUUGAAUCUAGGCUAUCAAUUUUGAUGCACGUUAUAUGAUUGGAUGAGAUCUUGGCAAAAUUCUGCUCCAUUCCCGUACAUGAACUCAACUGAGACAGCCUAAGGUAAGGGAGGUGGAAGAAAGAAAGGGACUGUUGCAAAAAAUAGGUUUCCAUUCUAUGAUUGAAGGGUUAACCAUUUGCAUUUAGUUUUGUGGUUUUUGUCAACCUGUGAGUUAGUAGAAAUUAUGGAAGGACCACUUUUGUAGUGUUAGAAGAGAAUUUCAGACACCUACAUGUUUUAUUUACAUGCUGUGUUUGUUAUGUAAAGCUGUAAGAUUAGGUACUUUAUCAUAUAUAGAUCUUGCUCGUGUUAUGUAAAAAUGCAAAAUAAUAACAAUAAUAUUAUUGUGCUUUUUAGUUGUAGGAGAUUUUGUAUUAACUUUGUGAUGUGAAUAACCUUCUACAAAAAUGAAGGUUAUAAGGAUCAAUUGCUUAUUAACACGCCAUCACCACUGCUACUGGGAGAAGUUAGUAGGUAAGUCAUACAUGUCAGAAUUCUUCCACUAUGCAAGUUUCUCAUAUGUUUUAUCUACUGCCUUUGUGUGCUGAAAAAAUUGUCCCAGUUCUACAUUGCUGAUUUUUCAAUUUCGUAUAAGUAUGCAAAGAAUUGGAUGAACAAGAUUUGCAAUUAUUAAUCACAUAGGAUUAGAUAGCUUUUAGGAUGAUGAUGAACCAAAGCAAGUGGAAGAGCACUCAGAGGAGACAAUUUUGAUUUUACAUAGUGACGAGGAAGAGCCGAUGCAAGUGGAUCCACUUUGUUUAUUGUACCUUUGAGCAGUCUGCAGUACAAAAUCCACUUCUGUAGAAAUGUAUAUAUAUCUUUUUUUAUUGCUGCAGAGGUGCAUGUACAAAUAUCAACAGUUGUAGUUUUUGUUAUUUGCAUUAUGCUAAUUAAACCCCUGUGAAUUUCAUCCACUUUUCAGAUAACAAAUGAGCUUAUGUUGAAUUUUUUUCUCAAAGCAUAUGGGUUCUUGGAGUGUGCUAUGCAGCAUGGUAUUCCUAGGAUAUUUCCAGAAAAUAGGUGAGUACAGGACUGCAGGUACCAUGUUAAUCCAUGUGAAUCGUUUAUACAUGAUGCUUAUUAACUUGCUUGUGACAUGGGUAUAUUCCCUAGCUCAUAGACUGCAACAGGUCAAUGGCCAUCUCAGCUGCAUAAUUAAACAUAACACUUAACAUUAUUCAAGCUUAGCACCUAGACUUUAGAUGCACAACUUGUUGUUAGCCUGACGGUUUUUACUGCUAAUGAGGAUCAUGUUGGGCUUGUGAAGCAUAAUCACUAUCCUCUGAUUUCAGAAUAUCAGGUGUGGCAAGCUGCUGACUUUUUUCUAGGAUGGAUCUGUUAUUUUACUUGAGAAAUGUAAACAACCAGUUUCUGGAGUGCUAAGUGCUAACUGCUGAUGAGUGCACUCCUGCAGGCACACACAUUUUGCUUAAUACUAACAAUCCUUUUUGCAAAACUACUAAAUAUGAAAGGGGCAGCAUUUUCAUGAAACAUAUUGGGUGGCUUAAGGGUGCUCUCUAGGGUGCAAUUACUGCUUAAGUGCGAAUAGUAUCAGUUUCCUAAAAAAAGGAAGGAAUUUCAAGCUCUUCUCAUCCUGUUCUGUCAUUCUCUUAUGCCAUUGUGUACAUCACCUUUUUCAUAUCCUAGCUGUCUAAUGAUCUUGUGGUACAAUUGUAAGUAGCAUUAUGUGCAAAAUGUGUGUGCGUGUGCCUGAUCCUAUUUUGAAGGAAUUAUUCAGAAGACAAGGACAAUCAUGGAGUGUUUGCACCGGAUUAUAGUACAA